AUUUUUUUUUUUUUUUUUGAGGAAAUUAAGUUAAAAUUUUUGCCUAUGGUCUUUCUAAGAAUGAAUUUGGAUUGUGGAUGAUAUCUUUGAAAUAUGUAACUUGUCAAUAGUUCUUUGUAGGCCAUAACUAUAAGUAGCUGUUUUACUGGCACAGACUGAUUUGCAUGACAAUAUUUGUGAAUGAAAAAGAAUAUGUUGCCUUAUCAUUCCAGCCUUAGGUCUCUAAAUUUGAACUUGCAGG
Molecule: unclassified non-coding RNA, 241 nt
Filed under: Hevea brasiliensis (rubber tree)
Lineage: Eukaryota; Viridiplantae; Streptophyta; Magnoliopsida; Malpighiales; Euphorbiaceae
Source: RNAcentral